GUCGUCUCACUUUUUGCACACUUUGCCCGAACGCGAGGAUUCCGUUUGUAAAAGUUAAAAAAAUUGUCACAACGUUUCGUUUCUGGCCACUCUGUGUUCUGGACCUCUUCGUUCCUCUGCUGCUGCUGUGUAGCUUCAAGUAAGUGGCAGUGAAUUGCCUACACAUCAGCCAUACUGUUGCAACCGGUCUUUGGCCGCCUCCCAUUCCUUCACGAAUAGAUCGUACUGCCGUUCGCUUUUGCACACGAUGAUCAACGAUUUCGGGCGACAACCGAUCGCCUUCAGCUGCUCCAUCCGCUUCUUCGUCGUCUGUAAACUGUGCAUCAGGAUGCGCGGAUUCAGGGCGAUAUCGUGUGGUGUGUAAUCCAGCUCAUCCAGGCACCGCUUUCCUUGGUGAGCUGCAGUGAUUUUUCCAGCACCACAUCCGGACAGCGCACCAUCCAGGGCAUCAGCUUCUUGCCCCGCACUUGCCUCGUACGCUCAAUCCGUUCUGC
This is a long non-coding RNA of Anopheles darlingi, 494 nucleotides long. RefSeq lists it as uncharacterized. The transcript has 3 exons. The record is from RefSeq and is a predicted model, not a curated record. Lineage: Eukaryota; Metazoa; Arthropoda; Insecta; Diptera; Culicidae.